UAGGGAAUCUUCGGCAAUGGGGGCAACCCUGACCGAGCAACGCCGCGUGAGUGAAGAAGGUUUUCGGAUCGUAAAGCUCUGUUGUAGAGAAGAACGUGUGUGAGAGUGGAAAGUUCACACAGUGACGGUAACUUACCAGAAAGGGACGGCUAACUACGUGCCAGCAGCCGCGGUAAUACGUAGGUCCCGAGCGUUGUCCGGAUUUAUUGGGCGUAAAGCGAGCGCAGGCGGUUUAAUAAGUCUGAAGUUAAAGGCAGUGGCUUAACCAUUGUUCGCUUUGGAAACUGUUAAACUUGAGUGCAGAAGGGGAGAGUGGAAUUCCAUGUGUAGCGGUGAAAUGCGUAGAUAUAUGGAGGAACACCGGUGGCGAAAGCGGCUCUCUGGUCUGUAACUGACGCUGAGGCUCGAAAGCGUGGGGAGCAAACAGG
This 428-nucleotide ribosomal RNA is filed under the name bacterium. Its description in RNAcentral is "partial 16S ribosomal RNA". It matches the Rfam family "Bacterial small subunit ribosomal RNA", at positions 355 to 776 of the family's 1533-position model. The record is from RNAcentral.